RNAcentral lists this ribosomal RNA (1530 nucleotides) under Triticum aestivum (bread wheat). RNAcentral describes it as "partial small subunit ribosomal RNA". Lineage: Eukaryota; Viridiplantae; Streptophyta; Magnoliopsida; Poales; Poaceae. The record is from RNAcentral.
AUGUAUCGUGAUGUUGCACAUUUCACCACAAGAUGCUCCACAUGUUGCAAAGCUAAGUCACAAUCUCAAUCCCAUGGUUUACAUAUGCCCUUACCUAUUCCACAUCAACCUUGGGAAGAUAUUAGCAUGGAUUUCAUACUUGGCUUACCUAGAACUCAAAAUGGCAAGGAUUCAAUAUUUGUUGUCGUAGAUCGCUUCUCUAAGAUGGCUCAUUUUAUCCCAUGCAAUAAGAUAGACGAUGCUUCACAUGUUGCCAAUCUCUUAUGUAGGGACAUCUUGAGGUUGCACGGCGUGCCAAAGACAAUUGUGUCGGAUCGGGACGUCAAGUUCUUAAGCUACUUUUGGAAGACACUUUGCGCCAAGCUCGGAAUCAAGCUCCUCUUCUCCACCGCAUAUCAUCCUCAAACCGAUGGCCAAACAGAAGUCACCAACCAGACGCUUGCCACUCUCCUACGCGUGUUGAUCAAGAGGAAUAUCAAGGAGUGGGAGGAGUGCCUACCUAUCACCGAGUACGCCUACAACCGUGCAAGACACUCUACAACCGGCAAGUCCCCCUUCAAGGUUGUCUACGGCUUCAACCCUUUGUCGCCAUUGGACAUCCUUCCUCUACCGCUUCAAGAACAAGAAAACAUGGACGCUAGUUCAAGAGCCACCUACCUCAAGAAGAUGCAUGAAGAAACACGUUCUACGAUCGAGCGACACGUACAACAACUCGCCUCCAAGCUCAAAAACCACAAGUCUCCAAUGGUGUUCCAACCGGGUGAUCAAGUAUGGCUACAUCUACGCAAGGACCGUUUCCCCAAGGAAAGAAAGUCCAAGCUACUCCCGAGAGCCGACGGGCCCUUCAAGGUGCUCGCAAGCUACAACGACAACGCCUACAAGGUUGACCUCCCACGAGACAAGUACUAUGUGAGCGACAUCUUCAACGUCAAAGACUUGGCCAAGUACCAUGGUGAUGACAAUCACGAUACGUGGUCGGAUCUCUCCCAAGGGGGGGGGGGAGAUGAUGCGGAGCAUCCUUCCUCCAUCCCCAUGGACUCUAUACCAACACAUCAAGCCCCACGUGGACCUGUGACAAGAGUGAGAGCACGUGCUUUGGAAACCGAGGUGAACUCCUUCCUACUUGACUUGCAUACGGAUACGAAUGGGACUUGGUUGCUACCUCACCAAAAUAUGCUAUUUCUCAUUAGGUACGAAGAGGAACACUACCAUGAAGCUCAGGAGCAUCACCAAGGAGAAGGAGGACCACCCCAACGCCACGCGAACCAAGACGGAGCACAACAACAGCAACUCUGGAAGUCCCAGGUGACCCCGUGCGCACGGGCCCCCGAGACCCCGUGCCCAUGGACUGCCCAGGAAGUUGGCGCUGGAGCACCCCAUGCGCACGGGCGUGUACUGUGCCCACGGGACCCCGUGCGCACGGGCCCAACUUACCCUGUGCGCACAGGCCUCCCAGGAUGGCCGGCUGAGACUACACCUCGCCCUCCUCUUCAUCUCCUUCGACUCCAAGGCUAUAUAAGUCGUACCUAG